This 148-nucleotide small RNA is filed under the name Pongo abelii (Sumatran orangutan). Its description in RNAcentral is "Metazoan signal recognition particle RNA (ENSPPYG00000035952.1)". Lineage: Eukaryota; Metazoa; Chordata; Mammalia; Primates; Hominidae. The record is from Rfam by way of RNAcentral.
GCCGGGCGUGGUGGCGGGCGCCUGUAAUCCCAGCUACUUGGGAGGCUGAGGUAGGAGAAUUGCUUGAACCCAGGAGGUAGAGGUUGCAGUGAGCCAAGAUCAUGCCACUGCACUCCAACCUGGGUGACAGAGCAAGACUCCGUCUCCA